RNA transcript from Haemorhous mexicanus (house finch), 5130 nucleotides. RefSeq lists it as uncharacterized. Lineage: Eukaryota; Metazoa; Chordata; Aves; Passeriformes; Fringillidae. The transcript is spliced from 12 exons. The record is from RefSeq and is a predicted model, not a curated record.
AGCAGAACUGCAGCCAAGAAACUCUCAAAAGCUGCUUCCAGUGCCUGCUGGGAUUCCAAGGCUGGUUUUGUUCUUCCCCUGCUGGAACUUGCUGCUCCAAAGACAAGGGGGAAGCUGGACUCAGCUAAUUACAUUGGAGGAUUAAUUACAUUGCCACAGUCUCCAUGUGAUACUGGAUUGAUUUUUAAUUUUUUUUAUUUUUUUAAGCACAACAGAACAGGGUUUUUUCCUCCCCUCUUCUCUUUCAUCUCUUUCUGCACACACGCACAGGGGAGAUGUUGCAAACAGUCUGCAUGAGCCCUGAGCUGCUUGUCAACCAAAACAUGAGUGAGAGUGAAAUCUGUGGCUACAGCCCAGGCCAGGGAUCUCCCCUGCCUGCAGAAACUGCCAGCCCCAAGAGCUGCUUCCAGCAGAGCCCAUCUCUGCCAGACUCUGGAUUAACCGAGCUGAACGUGGCGAGUCCCAAGAUCUACCACCCUCCUCCUCCUCCUCCUCCAUGCCACCCUCCAGGGAUGCCUGCUCCUGCUGACUCUGAACUUAGCUCUGAUCCCCCUCAGAAGCGCUACAUGGGUGUGAGAGUGAAGAUGCCAGUGCGGGAAUUGCUGAGGAAAAUCCGACUUUCCAAAGGCUUGGACCCAGCUCCAGGCAAGGAAGCCUCGUCAGUGAAGAUGGCAGCCAAAGGAUCCUCAGGAAAAACAGCAGAGAAGAGGAGAUCUCACCCUUAUACAGAGAAACAGCUUAGACAGAGCAAGCAGAGCGCUGGGCAAAGCCCCAAAGGCUUGGAGGACCUCGACAUCCUGGUGGAGGUGCUGCAGGAGGAUCUGAACCAGAGCCAGCUCGGGGAGGAGCCCCGGCAGCCCGUGCCAGACGGGUUCGGGCAGGGAUUCUCCCGGGAGCUGCAGAGCUGCCGCUGGCAGAGCGUGGGGAGCAAGGAGGCAGCUGGGAGCCUGCAGGGCCCAGCAGAGCCUCAGCCCCAGCCCUGGGGGAGAGAUUUCCACCCCAUCCUGCGGGGACAGGCAGAGCCUUCCUUCCAUGGCCAGCAGGAGAGCAUCCAGAGGUCCGGCUCGCCUGGAAUGUUCUCCAGGACGGGCGAGGGAGGGAGCAGCUGGUGGGUGCAGGAUGGUCCCUUGAGCUCCCAGGAAGGUUCCUCGAGGAAUUCUGCAUCCCAGGAAGGUUUCCCGAGGAAUUCUCCAUCCCAGGAAGUUUUCUCGAGGAAUUCUGCACCACAGGAAUGUCUCCUGAGGAACUCUCCAUCCCAGGAAUGUUUCUUGAGGAACUCUCCAUCCCAGGAAUAUCUCCUGAGGAAUUCUGCACCCCACGAAGGUUUCCCGAGGAAUUCUCCAUCCCAGGAAUAUCCCCUGAGGAAUUUUGCACCCCAGGAAUGUCCCCUGAGGAAUUCUCCAUCCCACAAAGGUUUGCUGAGGAAUUCUGCACCCCAGGAAUGUUUCUUGAGGAAUUCUCCAUCCCAGGAAUGUCUCCUGAGGAAUUCUGCACCCCAGGAAUGUCUCCUGAGGAAUUCUCCAUCCCAGGAAUGUUUCUUGAGGAACUCUCCAUCCCAGGAAGGUCUCCUGAGGAAUUCUGCACCCUACGAAGGUUUCCCAAGGAAUUCUCCAUCCAAGGAAUGUUUCUUGAGGAAUUCUGCACCCCAGGAAUGUUUCUUGAGGAAUUCUCCAUCCCAGGAAUGUCUCCUGAGGAAUUCUGCACCCCAGGAAUGUCUCCUGAGGAACUCUCCAUCCCAGGAAUGUCCCCUGAGGAUUUCUACAUCCCAGGACACGCCUGCACUCCCCAGGCUGGCAGAGCUGCUGCUGGAAGCUCCCAGGGGCUCUCCAGAUGUGGAGGGACACUUGAGGCUGACCCCAAACUCCUUCCCCAGGCAGGACCUCUCUGCCCUCUCCUUCUUCCAGUUCCAGCUGCGCAGGGAGGAAAAUCUGCUGAGGAACAUCCCAGAGGAAAAACUGCUGGCUCCUGAUGAAAAUGGCAACAGGCUGCUGCACAAGGCUGUUGCCCAGGGAAGGAGGGCUCUGACUUUUGCCCUGGCCCAGAGAUUUGCAUCCCUCAACAAGAUCGACGAGAAGGAUGCAGAGAAAAGGACUGCUUUACAUCUUGCUGCAGAAAAGAAGCAGCACCUGAUGGUGAGUGACCUGAUCUCCCUGGGAGCCAACGUCAACCAGCAGGACAGCUCUGGCAAAACUCCCCUGCACCUGUGUGCAGAGCACGGCUACCUGAGAGUUCUGCAGGUCCUGAAAAGCUGCAAGAACAACGGGGUGUGUGUGGAAGUGGAUCUGCCUGACCACCACGGUCUGACCCCCCUGCACUGUGCUGCCCUUGCCCACACCGUGCUGGUGGCAGAAUCCCAGAGCUCUGCCAGGGACAGCAGCACCGGGAGGUUCCUGAGGCUCCGCAGAGCCCAGAUCCUGGAGGGAAUCCUGUGCCUGCUCCAGAUGGGAGCAAAGCCCCAGCUGCAGGUUCUGAACUCGUGUCAAGCCUCCACCCCCUGCCUCAAGCUGGAGGAGAACACAGAGCUCAUGAGUUUGCUUCAGACUCAUCAACCCCAGGCACAGGAUGUUCCUCAGGAGAGCUGCAGCCUGCUGGAUGCUCCCAGAGGAAUCCCCACUCCCCCAGCUGCAGAUACCUUACCUGGCCUCAGCUCCUUGCCAUCCUCAGACCUCCUCGACGUCCUCCUCGAAGGUAUUUUAUGGUAGGAAGUGGAGUUCAGGUAGCUGGGGGUGUGUGUGGCUCCAUCCAGCCCCAUCCCACAGAACCAUUCAGGGUGGGAAAACCCCAAAACCACCGAGUUCAAACCUCCACAGCGUGGAGCUGCUGGAGAAGGUGCUCAGCACCUCAUCCCAACCCUUGGACCAGCUCAUUCUCCUGGCAAACCUCCUUCCUCAGCCAGAGCUAGCCAGGAAAGGAGGGGAUUUAUUUAUCCCUGCUUUAGCAGAUAUCUUACCUGGCCUCUGCUCCUUGCCAUCCUCAGACAUCCUCGACGUCCUCCUCGAAGGGAAAUGCUGAGAGCUCUCAUCCCCUGCACCUGCUGGGCCACCUGCUGCAGAGCACACACACCAAAACACAGAAUAUUUUACAUCAUGUCUUGAACUGACUGCUGGAAGAUCCCACCUGGACCCAGAGUUAAAGAGCAAAUGAUAAAUGAGGGAAAGCCUCACUCAGUGCAGGUGGCACCAGGAAUGCAGUGCUGGGUGCUCCAGGAAGAAUUGCACCUUCAUUUUCUCACAGAUUUGUGUUUUUCUGCUCAGGUCUGAGGUCAGUCUGAAGCUCUGAUGAUUUUUCAUGCAGGUGUUCAGCCCAAGAAAAAGAUUUGAACCAUCCAGGGUCCACUCUUGGGGGUUUCAGCCUAAAAUUAAUCGAUACACUCCAAAUCCAACAUUCAGACUGAAAAUCUCAGUCGUUUUAAACAUUAGCUGUGGGAAUUCAGAGCACAAAUAUUAAAAAUAUUUAAUAUUUUCUGCAGUCUGGCUCUGAACGUGGCCAAGGCUGGAGUGGUCACACUUUAGGGCAGUCUCACAGUGAAGUCCUUCCAAACUAAAGCAUCGUGCUGAGCAUGUUCCUUCAGCAAAAACCAAACUUUGUAUUGAUGCAAUCAGAAUUUUGCACCCGUAGUGGAUUGUAGGUGAAGUCUGGGAUAAAAUGUUUCAAGUCAGCUCCUUUCCAUCAGCUCUAACAGAGGAUUUUACCUUUGUAAAAUUGAAACCUAGGACAACAGCUUUUAAGGAUCUUUUUUUUUUAAAUAAAUUUGGGAGCAUAGGAAGGAGCUGAAAUGAUCCUGUACUGCCAGAAAACCAAGUUAUUCAGUAGAAUUAUUACAAACCAGAUCAUUUUUAUUUUUAAUUCUCUCUUCCCAGACUAACCCUCGUUGAAUUUUAACUUCUGGUUGCGAGUUUGCUGGUUUCUAUGAAACUUCCCUGUUUGCUACAUAGGGAGCAAUUCUACUUUUACAGAACCUAAAACCAACCCAAAACCUGACCCAGCAGCCCCUCACGUGUCUCCUGUGGAGGAAAACAGGAGAUUUCCACAUGAAACCACUGCAGGAUCCAGUGAUCAGUACUCAGCAUCUUUGGGGAAUGUUUUUCAUGAACCCUUUUCAUUUGUUUCUUGUUAAAAAAAACAAAAAAAAAAAGGUUCUUUUUAUGUUAUGGGGUUUCCUUAAGUGUUAAGCUCCAAGAGCUACGUUGCACAAGGUGAAUUCACUUUGAGAAGUGAAUUCCAAUGGGAUUUGGGUCAUAUCCUAUGAUUCUGAUGCCCUGGACAACUCAAGAGUUCUCUUUUGUAUUUCCUCUAGUGUGAGUGAGGCAUAAUAAUUCAUAAUCUUUCAGUAUUUCAUUUAAAAAUAUAUAUAUAUUAUAUGUUAUUCUCAUGAGGAGUUGCAUAACUCAUCCACUUCCUUCCAAAGCCUUCCCUCAUGUUUUAACAAUCUUUGGUAUUUCCUUUUUCCCUUUUUGUCCCAGGUUUUGUGGAUAUUUCUCCUCUCUGGAUGUUUCUCUCUGUCCCUCCACCACUGCCCACCCUUCUGUCUGUUUGCAUUUUAACUCCCAUCUCUUCCCACUGAACUUUUUAUUCAUUUGGGGACAAUGAAGGGACAACUUCUGGGUUAGCUCAGCAUCCAUUUGUGGGAUUGAAGGGUCAGACCCAGCUCUGGAUUUUCAUUAUAAACCAGCCAAGAGCUCCCACAUCACGAGGAUGAGGCAGAGUGUUGAGCAAAGAGAAGAGCAGCCAUAAAAGGAAAAAAAAACCCUGAAAUUUCUCAAAGGAUUUCUUAAAAAACCUGAAUUUUCUCACGGGAUUUCUUAAAAAAACCUGAAUUUUCUCACAGGAUUUCUUAAAACCCUGAAUUUUCUCACGGGAUUUCUUAAAAAAACCUGAAUUUUCUCUUUAAAAAGUGUAGAAAACUCUCAUUUAAUAACCCAGCAUUAAUCUUUUAGUCAUGGGAACCAUCCAGGUGAAAGGAUAAGAGGAUUCAACUAUUCCUACAGGCAUCAUUUAUUCAAUAUACUCAGAGAUGAGCUUGCUCCUACAGUAUAUUCUACCACAGUUAUCCACUAAUUGCAUUGUUAAUUGCUUUACAUUGCUCCACUGCUCCUUCCUGUCAAUAAAUACAUUUAUUCCAUGCAGUAA